UACGUAGGUGGCAAGCGUUGUCCGGAUUUAUUGGGUUUAAAGGGUGCGUAGGCGGCCUUGUAAGUCAGUGCUGAAAUAUCCCGGCUUAACCGGGAGGGUGGCAUUGAUACUGGAGGGCUUGAGUAGAGUCGAGGUAGGCGGAAUUGACGGUGUAGCGGUGAAAUGCUUAGAUAUCGUCAAGAACACCGAUAGUGUAGACAGCUUACUAGACUCAAACUGACGCUGAGGCACGAAAGUGUGGGGAUCAAACAGG
Molecule: ribosomal RNA, 253 nt
Filed under: uncultured bacterium
Lineage: Bacteria
Description: partial 16S ribosomal RNA
Rfam family: Bacterial small subunit ribosomal RNA
Source: RNAcentral